GACGGGGAGCACCACAACGGGUGGAGCUUGCGGUUUAAUUGGAUUCAACGCCGGAAAUCUUACCGGGACCGACAGCGAUAUGAAGGCCAGGCUGAAGACUUUGCCGGAUUAGCUGAGAGGUGGUGCAUGGCCGUCGUCAGUUCGUACUGUGAAGCAUCCUGUUAAGUCAGGCAACGAGCGAGACCCACGCCCACAGUUGCCAGCGUACUCUCCGGAGUGACGGGUACACUGUGGGGACCGCCGCUGCUAAAGCGGAGGAAGGAAUGGGCAACGGUAGGUCAGUAUGCCCCGAAUAUCCCGGGCUACACGCGAGCUACAAUGGUUGGUACAAUGGGUAUCUACCCCGAAAGGGGAUGGAAAUCUCCUAAAGCCAAUCUUAGUCCGGAUUGAGGGCUGCAACUCGCCCUCAUGAAGCUGGAAUCCGUAGUAAUCGCGUUUCAACAGAACGCGGUGAAUACGUCCCUGCUCCUU
Molecule: ribosomal RNA, 471 nt
Filed under: uncultured Methanosaeta sp.
Lineage: Archaea; Methanobacteriati; Methanobacteriota; Methanomicrobia; Methanotrichales; Methanotrichaceae
Description: bacterial SSU rRNA
Rfam family: Archaeal small subunit ribosomal RNA
Source: RNAcentral